This 253-nucleotide ribosomal RNA is filed under the name uncultured bacterium. RNAcentral describes it as "partial 16S ribosomal RNA". It matches the Rfam family "Bacterial small subunit ribosomal RNA", at positions 524 to 776 of the family's 1533-position model. The record is from RNAcentral.
UACGUAGGUGACAAGCGUUGUCCGGAUUUACUGGGCGUAAAGAGCGCGCAGGCGGUCGUUCAAGUCGAGUGUGAAAGCCCCCGGCUCAACUGGGGAGGGUCACUCGAUACUGAUCGACUCGAAGGCAGGAGAGGGUAGUGGAAUUCCCGGUGUAGUGGUGAAAUGCGUAGAUAUCAGAAGGAACAUCAGUGGCGAAAGCGGCUUCCUGGUCCAGUACCGACGUUCAGGCACGAAAGCGUGGGGAGCAAACAGG